GUUCAGGGAUAGUGCCCAGGGCCUGAGUUCAAGCCCAGGACUGACAAAAAUAAAUAAAUUAAUAAUAAUAAUAAAGCAUAUUAUAAAUUACAAGGAAGUAUUAUUGCAACAAGAAACAAAUAGGCUUCUCUAAUCAAAAAGUUAAAAAUCAACAGGGCUCUGUUAGCUCAUGCCUAUAAUCCUAGAUACUUAGGAAGAUGGGACUGAGAAGGCUGAGGUUCAAGGCCAACCCAGGCGGUAGAGUCGUUCAGACUGCUGGGCACUGUAACAUAAGCCUGUUAUCCUAGCUACAAUGAACGUAAGUGAACAGUGUCUAGCCUCACACCCAAACAUAGAACAAGACUCUAUCACAAAACUAACCAGCAAAAUCA
This is a long non-coding RNA of Perognathus longimembris pacificus (Pacific pocket mouse), 371 nucleotides long. RefSeq lists it as uncharacterized. The transcript is spliced from 3 exons. NCBI's taxonomy places the organism in Eukaryota, Metazoa, Chordata, Mammalia, Rodentia, Heteromyidae. The record is from RefSeq and is a predicted model, not a curated record.